This 468-nucleotide ribosomal RNA is filed under the name uncultured bacterium. RNAcentral describes it as "partial 16S ribosomal RNA". It matches the Rfam family "Bacterial small subunit ribosomal RNA", at positions 28 to 507 of the family's 1533-position model. The record is from RNAcentral.
GACGAACGCUGGCGGCGUGCUUAACACAUGCAAGUCGAACGGAAAGGCCCUGCUUUUGUGGGGUGCUCGAGUGGCGAACGGGUGAGUAACACGUGAGUAACCUGCCCCUGACUUUGGGAUAACUUCAGGAAACUGGGGCUAAUACCGGAUAGGAGCUCCUGCUGCAUGGUGGGGGUUGGAAAGUUUCGGCGGUUGGGGAUGGACUCGCGGCUUAUCAGCUUGUUGGUGGGGUAGUGGCUUACCAAGGCUUUGACGGGUAGCCAGCCUGAGAGGGUGACCGGCCACAUUGGGACUGAGAUACGGCCCAGACUCCUACGGGAGGCAGCAGUGGGGAAUAUUGCACAAUGGGCGGAAGCCUGAUGCAGCAACGCCGCGUGCGGGAUGACGGCCUUCGGGUUGUAAACCGCUUUCGCCUGUGACGAAGCGUGAGUGACGGUAAUGGGUAAAGAAGCACCGGCUAACUACGUG